RNAcentral lists this ribosomal RNA (253 nucleotides) under uncultured bacterium. Its description in RNAcentral is "partial 16S ribosomal RNA". It matches the Rfam family "Bacterial small subunit ribosomal RNA", at positions 524 to 776 of the family's 1533-position model. The record is from RNAcentral.
UACGUAGGGGGCAAGCGUUGUCCGGAAUCAUUGGGCGUAAAGAGCGUGUAGGCGGCCAGGUAGGUCUGCUGUGAAAACUCGAGGCUCAACCUCGAGACGUCGGCGGAAACCAUCUGGCUAGAGUCCGGAAGAGGAGAGUGGAAUUCCUGGUGUAGCGGUGAAAUGCGCAGAUAUCAGGAAGAACACCCGUGGCUAAGGCGGUUCUCUGGGCCGAUAUUGACGCUGAGGAGCGAAAGCGUGGGGAGCGAACAGG